This 811-nucleotide long non-coding RNA is filed under the name Carica papaya (papaya). RNAcentral's name for it is "long non-coding RNA (CPAP_LNC000440)". The record is from RNAcentral. Lineage: Eukaryota; Viridiplantae; Streptophyta; Magnoliopsida; Brassicales; Caricaceae.
CAAACACUGCCCCUUAGGAGGUGCGUGCCGCUAUUAGGUGGUGAGCCGCAGCCCCUUGGGUGGUAUGUGCCAUCCCUUGGCCGAUGUGCCCUCAGUCUUUGUGCUGAGUUUUUGCAUGUCUCAUCGGCAGUUCAUCAGUCACGUCCGUUAGUCGUCGUGUCGCAUUAGUCAACUUUUCUUCUCUCUCUUCUCACAGAUUCGCACCACUCGCCGAAAAUUCGAUGGCCCAUUUUUUCUAUAAUAGGAGCCCUCUCACCACCAUUUCCUCACACUUCCUCUUUAUUUCACUUUCUUAAGAGUUUUUUAGAGAGAGAGCUAGAGAAAGAAGUGAAGGAAAGAAGAACUUAGAAACUCUUCAAACUUUUUGUAAGGGAAAUCUUGGUAUUUUCUCGUACAUUUUAAGGAGCAUUUCUAGAAAAAUUGAUUUGAAAUGUUGCAUGAUUGAUGUGAAAUAAUAAUUGCAUGUUUUAGUAAAUAUUUAAGUUUUAAAAUUAAAUUGUUAAAUAAUAUGACUAUGAUGGAAUAUAUGUGAUGCAUGAGAUAUCAUGAUUUUUGCAUUAAGAUGCAUGAAUAUUUUAUGAAAAUUGACAUGUAGGCCUAACACCAUAACAUUUAUGCAUUGUAUUUACAAUGAUAUAAUCCGUUAGCUGUUAUCUUUAAGGAGUUCUAUUUCUCCCCCAUCUGAUAUGAAAAAACAUGUGAGGACCACCCCUUGUGGAUGACGGCGUACUCUCUAACGAGAGUGGUUAUGCAAUAUGAUUUGUAAGUCCACUGUGGUAACGUACGAUCGUGGCUAUAGUUUACAUGUNNN